ACUGAUCCAAGCACAGAAAUCAAUGUUCUUCUUUAAUUUAUGAAUUUCUUUAACAAAAUAUUCUACUUGAUAUCAUAUGCAGACAAUCAUCUCUUCAUAACCCUGAUCAAUAUAAAAAUCACAUAUAGAGAAAUUACCGAUAAUCGAUCUUAAUAACACAAAUCGAGGACCUCUCUUAGGAUUAAUCAAAAUUAGGAUUUAUCUAAGUAUCUAGAUCCUCCACUGAUCCAUAAGACUUCUAGAGAGAGAAAAUCCAUGAAGAGAGAGAAAAUUUUAGAGAGAGAAAGUAGAGAGAGAAAAUGGAGAGAGAAUCUUCGUAUCCUUCAGAUGAGGCAAUCAUGGUCGAGAUCAUCAGAGAUCCUAUCAGGAUGACUCAAUAUGAAUCAAAUGUUACAAAUUUCGAAUAGGAUCGGACUGGGAUCAGAUCUACCGCAUGAAUUUCGAAGCAAUCUCGGAUCAUCUUAUUUUCAUCUCAAUUUUAUCCUAGGAUCCGUGAUGAAAUCAGAGAGGGAAAAAGACUCUAGAGAGAUAAAAAUUCAUAAAGAGAGAGAAAGGUCUAGAGAGAGAAUCUAGAGAGAGAAACUGAAGAGAGAAGGUAGAGAGAGGAGAGAGAAAAUAUUUCUCUCUUCUUCUUCUUUUUUUUUAUUUUAUUUUUAUUUUUCUUCUUUUUCUUUUUAUUUUUCUUUUUUUCUUUUUUCUUUUUCUUUUUCCUUUUUCUUUUCUUUUCUUUUCUUUUCUUUCUUUCUUCUUUCUUCCUUCUUCUUUCUUUUCUUUUCUUNNNNNNNNNNNNNNNNNNNNAUAAAUAAUAAUAUAAUCUGAAAAUAAAGAUAAGCAAUAACACAUAAAAAGUCGAUGUUCACUGUCCAGAAUACUGCAAACAUUUAUAGAUUAUCUGUUUUAUCAAAAGAGAUGCAUCAUCAUAUGUUAAAUAAGUGAAACAAUUUUAUUCAACGAUUGUUUCAUGUCUUAUCUUUCAUUUCUCCUUUCAUAAUCACAUAAUUUUUUAACAUUUUCUUUCUGACUCUGGACUAUUCAAGUCUAUACCUCAGUCAUCAUCUGGAUCGAAUCCACUUAAAAAGCCUUUCAAGACUAUCCCAGGAUGAGCUCCUGGCCGGCUAUCCCACGUACCAAAGUCCGUGAGAGGCUGUCCCAGGCAUAAGCUCCUGGCGGGCUGUCUCAGGCAUGAGCUCCUGGCCGGCUGAUCCACCUGUAAGCCAGUGGGGGCUGUCCCAGGCAUAAGCUCCUGGCGGACUGUUCCAUAUGACAAGGCUAGUCCAUACCAUAUACCUCUUACUUUUCAUUUAAUCAUUUUGUGUUGAUUUCAUCAAAUCAAUUCCGACUUGCAUUAUGAUCGAUUCAGAUAUAUCAUAUCCAUAUAAUCAUGCCAUCAAUCUCUGAUACAUAUAUAUUGACAUAACAUACUAAUGCUCAAAAUCAAAUAACAGUAUCUCAGAUAUAAUAAAUUUAUCGAUCUCAAAUCCGACGAUGCAAAAUCAAUAAUGCAAGACCAACAGUAAAAUAUAUAUAUAAUGGUGAUCAUGUACAGGAAUUCUUACCUUUACUGGUGACUGAUCCAAGCACAGAAAUCAAUGUUCUUCUUUAAUUUAUGAAUUUCUUUAACAAAAUAUUUCACUUGAUAUCAUAUGCAGACAAUCAUCUCUUCAUAACCUUGAUCAAUAUAAAAAUCACAUAUAGAGAAAUUACUGAUAAUCAAUCUUAAUAACACAAAUCGAGGACCUCUCUUAGGAUUAAUCAAAAUUAGGAUUUAUCUAAGUAUCUG
RNAcentral lists this long non-coding RNA (1780 nucleotides) under Elaeis guineensis (African oil palm). RNAcentral describes it as "long non-coding RNA (EGUI_LNC011759)". Lineage: Eukaryota; Viridiplantae; Streptophyta; Magnoliopsida; Arecales; Arecaceae. The record is from RNAcentral.